This 253-nucleotide ribosomal RNA is filed under the name uncultured bacterium. RNAcentral's name for it is "partial 16S ribosomal RNA". It matches the Rfam family "Bacterial small subunit ribosomal RNA", at positions 524 to 776 of the family's 1533-position model. The record is from RNAcentral.
UACGUAGGGGGCAAGCGUUGUCCGGAAUCAUUGGGCGUAAAGCGCGUGUAGGCGGCUUGGUAAGUCCGCUCUGAAAGCCCCGGGGCUCAACCCCGGGAGGCGGGUGGAUACUGUCAGCUCGAGUCCGGAAGAGGCGAGUGGAAUUCCUGGUGUAGCGGUGAAAUGCGCAGAUAUCAGGAGGAACACCAAUGGCGAAGGCAGCUCGCUGGGACGUGACUGACGCUGAGACGCGAAAGCGUGGGGAGCAAACAGG